This 443-nucleotide ribosomal RNA is filed under the name uncultured bacterium. Its description in RNAcentral is "partial 16S ribosomal RNA". It matches the Rfam family "Bacterial small subunit ribosomal RNA", at positions 338 to 795 of the family's 1533-position model. The record is from RNAcentral.
CCUACGUGGGGCAGCAGUGGGGAAUAUUGGGCAAUGGGCGCAAGCCUGACCCAGCAACGCCGCGUGAAGGAAGAAGGCUUUCGGGUUGUAAACUUCUUUUCUGAGGGACGAAGAAAGUGACGGUACCUCAGGAAUAAGCCACGGCUAACUACGUGCCAGCAGCCGCGGUAAUACGUAGGUGGCAAGCGUUAUCCGGAUUUAUUGGGUGUAAAGGGCGUGUAGGCGGGAAAGCAAGUCAGAUGUGAAAACUCAGGGCUCAACCCUGAGCCUGCAUUUGAAACUGUUUUUCUUGAGUGCUGGAGAGGCAAUCGGAAUUCCGUGUGUAGCGGUGAAAUGCGUAGAUAUACGGAGGAACACUCGUGGCGAAGGCGGGUUCCUGGACAUUAACUGACGCUGAGGCACGAAGGCCAGGGGAGCGAAAGGGAUUAGAUACCCUUGUAGUC